RNAcentral lists this unclassified non-coding RNA (470 nucleotides) under Hevea brasiliensis (rubber tree). Lineage: Eukaryota; Viridiplantae; Streptophyta; Magnoliopsida; Malpighiales; Euphorbiaceae. The record is from RNAcentral.
AUUGCGUCGAAAAUCGACAAAGUAGGGGGUAUGCCUGCUCCGAGGCUCGUUUGACCUCGAAAAUGGACCGAUUGGGUCAUUAGGGUUGGACGUCAAAAAUAUGGAUACCCAAAAAAUGGUUAAUUAUAGCACAUGAAAAUUGGAAAAAUAGGAGGUAUGCGUGCUCUAGGGCUCGUUUGACCGUUUGACCUUGAAAAUGGUUCGAUUUGGCCGUCAGGGACAACCGACUCCAUAACUAAGGUCUUAUCGGACGUCUAGAAAAUUUUUUGGCAUUUUAGAAGUCAAAAAUUUAGAUCACCAGAAAUGAUGGUGAACUAUAUCACACAAAAAUCAGCAAAAUGGGGGGAUGUCUGCUUCGAGACUCGUUUGACCUCGAAAAUAGACCGAUUUAGCCGUCAGGGCCAACCGACUCCAUAGCUCAGGUAUUAACAUACGUCUACAAAAAUUUUGGCAUUUUGAAUGUCAUAAAU